AAAUUGAAGAGUUUGAUCAUGGCUCAGAUUGAACGCUGGCGGCAGGCCUAACACAUGCAAGUCGAACGGUAACAGGAAGCAGCUUGCUGCUUUGCUGACGAGUGGCGGACGGGUGAGUAAUGUCUGGGAAACUGCCUGAUGGAGGGGAUAACUACUGGAAACGGUGGCUAAUACCGCAUAACGUCGCAAGACCAAAGAGGGGGACCUUCGGGCCUCUUGCCAUCAGAUGUGCCCAGAUGGGAUUAGCUAGUUGGUGAGGUAACGGCUCACCAAGGCGACGAUCCCUAGCUGGUCUGAGAGGAUGACCAGCCACACUGGAACUGAGACACGGUCCAGACUCCUACGGGAGGCAGCAGUGGGGAAUAUUGCACAAUGGGCGCAAGCCUGAUGCAGCCAUGCCGCGUGUAUGAAGAAGGCCUUCGGGUUGUAAAGUACUUUCAGCGGGGAGGAAGGUGUUGUGGUUAAUAACCGCAGCAAUUGACGUUACCCGCAGAAGAAGCACCGGCUAACUCCGUGCCAGCAGCCGCGGUAAUACGGAGGGUGCAAGCGUUAAUCGGAAUUACUGGGCGUAAAGCGCACGCAGGCGGUCUGUCAAGUCGGAUGUGAAAUCCCCGGGCUCAACCUGGGAACUGCAUUCGAAACUGGCAGGCUUGAGUCUUGUAGAGGGGGGUAGAAUUCCAGGUGUAGCGGUGAAAUGCGUAGAGAUCUGGAGGAAUACCGGUGGCGAAGGCGGCCCCCUGGACAAAGACUGACGCUCAGGUGCGAAAGCGUGGGGAGCAAACAGGAUUAGAUACCCUGGUAGUCCACGCCGUAAACGAUGUCUACUUGGAGGUUGUGCCCUUGAGGCGUGGCUUCCGGAGCUAACGCGUUAAGUAGACCGCCUGGGGAGUACGGCCGCAAGGUUAAAACUCAAAUGAAUUGACGGGGGCCCGCACAAGCGGUGGAGCAUGUGGUUUAAUUCGAUGCAACGCGAAGAACCUUACCUGGUCUUGACAUCCACAGAAGAAUCCAGAGAUGGAUUUGUGCCUUCGGGAACUGUGAGACAGGUGCUGCAUGGCUGUCGUCAGCUCGUGUUGUGAAAUGUUGGGUUAAGUCCCGCAACGAGCGCAACCCUUAUCCUUUGUUGCCAGCGGUCCGGCCGGGAACUCAAAGGAGACUGCCAGUGAUAAACUGGAGGAAGGUGGGGAUGACGUCAAGUCAUCAUGGCCCUUACGACCAGGGCUACACACGUGCUACAAUGGCGCAUACAAAGAGAAGCGACCUCGCGAGAGCAAGCGGACCUCAUAAAGUGCGUCGUAGUCCGGAUUGGAGUCUGCAACUCGACUCCAUGAAGUCGGAAUCGCUAGUAAUCGUGGAUCAGAAUGCCACGGUGAAUACGUUCCCGGGCCUUGUACACACCGCCCGUCACACCAUGGGAGUGGGUUGCAAAAGAAGUAGGUAGCUUAACCUUCGGGAGGGCGCUUACCACUUUGUGAUUCAUGACUGGGGUGAAGUCGUAACAAGGUAACCGUAGGGGAACCUGCGGUUGGAUCACCUCCUUACCUUAAAGAA
Molecule: ribosomal RNA, 1551 nt
Filed under: Salmonella enterica subsp. enterica serovar Infantis
Lineage: Bacteria; Pseudomonadati; Pseudomonadota; Gammaproteobacteria; Enterobacterales; Enterobacteriaceae
Description: bacterial SSU rRNA
Rfam family: Bacterial small subunit ribosomal RNA
Source: RNAcentral